This 182-nucleotide ribosomal RNA is filed under the name Talaromyces helicus var. helicus. RNAcentral describes it as "5.8S ribosomal RNA". The stretch from base 48 to 182 matches the Rfam family "5.8S ribosomal RNA", at positions 1 to 135 of the family's 154-position model. Rfam says of the family: 5.8S ribosomal RNA (5.8S rRNA) is a component of the large subunit of the eukaryotic ribosome. It is transcribed by RNA polymerase I as part of the 45S precursor that also contains 18S and 28S rRNA. The record is from RNAcentral. RNAcentral also lists the same sequence under 1 other name. Lineage: Eukaryota; Fungi; Ascomycota; Eurotiomycetes; Eurotiales; Trichocomaceae.
GAACUCUGAAGAAGAUAGGGCUGUCUGAGUACCUAGAAAAUUGUCAAAACUUUCAACAAUGGAUCUCUUGGUUCCGGCAUCGAUGAAGAACGCAGCGAAAUGCGAUAAGUAAUGUGAAUUGCAGAAUUCCGUGAAUCAUCGAAUCUUUGAACGCACAUUGCGCCCCCUGGCAUUCCGGGGGG